This 450-nucleotide ribosomal RNA is filed under the name uncultured bacterium. RNAcentral describes it as "partial 16S ribosomal RNA". It matches the Rfam family "Bacterial small subunit ribosomal RNA", at positions 354 to 796 of the family's 1533-position model. The record is from RNAcentral.
GUGGGGAAUAUUGGACAAUGGGCGAAAGCCUGAUCCAGCCAUGCCGCGUGUGUGAAGAAGGUCUUCGGAUUGUAAAGCACUUUAAGUUGGGAGGAAGGGCAGUAAGUUAAUACCUUGCUGUUUUGACGUUACCGACAGAAUAAGCACCGGCUAACUUCGUGCCAGCAGCCGCGGUAAUACGAAGGGUGCAAGCGUUAAUCGGAAUUACUGGGCGUAAAGCGCGCGGAGGUGGUUUUGUAAGUUGGAGGUGAAAUCCCCGGGCUCAACCUGGGAACUGCCUGCAAAACUGCAUGACUAGAGUACGGUAGAGGGUAGUGGAAUUUCCUGUGUAGCGGUGAAAUGCGUAGAUAUAGGAAGGAACACCAGUGGCGAAGGCGACUACCUGGACUGAUACUGACACUGAGGUGCGAAAGCGUGGGGAGCAAACAGGAUUAGAUACCCUUGUAGUCC